This 559-nucleotide ribosomal RNA is filed under the name uncultured marine bacterium D002. RNAcentral describes it as "bacterial SSU rRNA". It matches the Rfam family "Bacterial small subunit ribosomal RNA", at positions 339 to 916 of the family's 1533-position model. The record is from RNAcentral.
CUACGGGAGGCAGCAGUGGGGAAUCUUGGACAAUGGGGGCAACCCUGAUCCAGCCAUGCCGCGUGAGUGAUGAAGGCCUUAGGGUCGUAAAGUUCUUUCGCCUGUGAUGAUAAUGACAGUAGCAGGUAAAGAAACCCCGGCUAACUCCGUGCCAGCAGCCGCGGUAAUACGGAGGGGGUUAGCGUUGUUCGGAAUUACUGGGCGUAAAGCGCGCGUAGGCGGACUGGAAAGUUGGGGGUGAAAUCCCGGGGCUCAACCCCGGAACUGCCUCCAAAACUAUCAGUCUAGAGUUCGAGAGAGGUGAGUGAAAUUCCGAGUGUAGAGGUGAAAUUCGUAGAUAUUCGGAGGAACACCAGUGGCGAAGGCGGCUCACUGGCUCGAUACUGACGCUGAGGUGCGAAAGUGUGGGGAGCAAACAGGAUUAGAUACCCUGGUAGUCCACACCGUAAACGAUGAAUGCCAGUCGUCGGGUAGCAUGCUAUUCGGUGACACACCUAACGGAUUAAGCAUUCCGCCUGGGGAGUACGGUCGCAAGAUUAAUACUCAAAGGAAUUGACGG